GGUAAAGUGGCUGAGUAAAGCAAUAGACUGUAAAUCUAAGAACAGAGGUUUGAUUCCUCUUUUUACCA
This 68-nucleotide transfer RNA is filed under the name Ovis aries (sheep). It matches the Rfam family "tRNA". From Rfam's summary of the family: Transfer RNA (tRNA) molecules are approximately 80 nucleotides in length. Their secondary structure includes four short double-helical elements and three loops (D, anti-codon, and T loops). The record is from Rfam by way of RNAcentral. Lineage: Eukaryota; Metazoa; Chordata; Mammalia; Artiodactyla; Bovidae.